Molecule: ribosomal RNA, 494 nt
Filed under: uncultured bacterium
Lineage: Bacteria
Description: partial 16S ribosomal RNA
Rfam family: Bacterial small subunit ribosomal RNA
Source: RNAcentral
GACGAACGCUGGCGACGCGCUUAACACAUGCCAGUCGAACGGAAAGGCCUGCUUUCCCUUGUGGAUUGCGGGUACUCGAGUGGCGAACGGGUGAGUAACACGUGAGUGAUCUGCCCCCAACUUGGGUAUAAGCCUGGGAAACUGGGUCUAAUUCCCGAUAGGACUGCAGGGUGGUGCCUGUGGUGGAAAACGAUUUUCUAGUGGUUGGGGAUGAGCUCGCGGCCUAUCAGCUUGUUGGUGGGGUAAUGGCCUGCCAAGGCGGCGACGGGUAGCCGGCCUGAGAGGGUGGACGGCCACAUUGGGACUGAGAUACGGCCCAGACGCCUACGGGAGGCAGCAGUGGGGAAUAUUGCACAAUGGGCGGAAGCGUGAUGCAGCGACGCCGCGUGGGGGAUGACGGCCUUCGGGUUGUAAGCUCCUUUCGACCGCGAGGAAGCCACCUGGUUGGAAGGGUGGUGACGGUAGUGGUAGAAGAAGCACCGGCUAACUACGUG